UACAGAGGGGGCAAGCGUUGUUCGGAAUUACUGGGCGUAAAGGGCGCGUAGGCGGGUCCGUAAGUCAGGGGUGAAAUCCCACGGCCCAACCGUGGAAGUGCCUCUGAUACUGCGGGCCUCGAGGGGGGUAGGGGCGUGCGGAACUCAGGGUGGAGCGGUGAAAUGCGUAGAUAUCCUGAGGAACACCGGUGGCGAAAGCGGCGCGCUGGAUCCCUUCUGACGCUGAGGCGCGAAAGCCAGGGGAGCAAACGGG
This 253-nucleotide ribosomal RNA is filed under the name uncultured bacterium. RNAcentral describes it as "partial 16S ribosomal RNA". It matches the Rfam family "Bacterial small subunit ribosomal RNA", at positions 524 to 776 of the family's 1533-position model. The record is from RNAcentral.